Callithrix jacchus (white-tufted-ear marmoset) is the source of this 119-nucleotide ribosomal RNA. Lineage: Eukaryota; Metazoa; Chordata; Mammalia; Primates; Cebidae. The record is from Ensembl.
GUCUACGGCCAUACCACCCUGGAAGCGUCCCAUCGAGUCUGAUCUCAGAAGCUAAGCAGGGUCAGGCCUGGUUAGUACUUGGAUGGGAGACCACUUGGGCAUAACAGGUGCUGUCGGCU